Molecule: non-coding RNA, 46 nt
Organism: Schistosoma mattheei
Lineage: Eukaryota; Metazoa; Platyhelminthes; Trematoda; Strigeidida; Schistosomatidae
Source: Rfam
GCACUACUGAGGAGCCCCAUAAUAGGACGAAACGGCCGUCCAGUGC